Molecule: ribosomal RNA, 428 nt
Filed under: uncultured bacterium
Lineage: Bacteria
Description: bacterial SSU rRNA
Rfam family: Bacterial small subunit ribosomal RNA
Source: RNAcentral
UCGAGAAUUUUUCUCAAUGGGGGAAACCCUGAAGGAGCGACGCCGCGUGGGGGAUGAAGGGCUUCGGUCCGUAAACCCCUGUCAUUUGCGAACAAGUUUUCAUAUUGAAUAGAUGUGAGAAUUGAUAGUAGCGAAAGAGGAAGGGACGGCUAACUCUGUGCCAGCAGCCGCGGUAAUACAGAGGUCCCGAGCGUUGUUCGGAUUUACUGGGCGUAAAGGGUGCGUAGGUGGCCGGGAAAGUCUGAUGUGAAAUCUCCGAGCUUAACUUGGAAACGGCAUUGGAAACUAUCUGGCUUGAGGGCCGGAGGGGAGACUGGAAUUCUCGGUGUAGCAGUGAAAUGCGUAGAUAUCGAGAGGAACACCAGUGGCGAAAGCGAGUCUCUGGACGGCCUCUGACACUGAAGCACGAAAGCUAGGGGAGCAAACAG